CCUACGGGUGGCUGCAGUGGGGAAUAUUGGACAAUGGGGGGAACCCUGAUCCAGCCAUGCCGCGUGUGUGAAGAAGGCCCUCGGGUUGUAAAGCACUUUCAGUGAGGAAGAACGCCUGGUGGUUAAUACCCAUCAGGAAAGACAUCACUCACAGAAGAAGCACCGGCUAACUCCGUGCCAGCAGCCGCGGUAAUACGGAGGGUGCGAGCGUUAAUCGGAAUUACUGGGCGUAAAGCGCGCGUAGGUGGCUUGAUAAGCCGGUUGUGAAAGCCCCGGGCUCAACCUGGGAACGGCAUCCGGAACUGUCAAGCUAGAGUGCAGGAGAGGAAGGUAGAAUUCCCGGUGUAGCGGUGAAAUGCGUAGAGAUCGGGAGGAAUACCAGUGGCGAAGGCGGCCUUCUGGACUGACGCUGACACUGAGGUGCGAAAGCGUGGGUAGCAAACAGGAUUAGAUACCCCGGUAGUC
Molecule: ribosomal RNA, 465 nt
Filed under: Vreelandella stevensii
Lineage: Bacteria; Pseudomonadati; Pseudomonadota; Gammaproteobacteria; Oceanospirillales; Halomonadaceae
Description: partial 16S ribosomal RNA
Rfam family: Bacterial small subunit ribosomal RNA
Source: RNAcentral